UCGGGAAUAUUGGACAAUGGACCAAGAGUUUGAUCCAGCAAUUCUGUGGGCACGAUGAAGUUUUUUGGAAUGUAAAGUGCUUUCAGUUGGGAAGAAAAAAAUGACGGUACCAACAGAAGAAGCGCCGGCUAAAUACGUGCCAGCAGCCGCGGUAAUACGUAUGUCCCAAGCGUUAUCCGGAUUUAUUGGGCGUAAAGCGCGUCUAGGUGGUUAUGUAAGUCUGAUGUGAAAAUGCAGGGCUCAACUUUGUAUUGCGUUGGAAACUGUGUAACUAGAGUGCUGGAGAGGUAAGCGGAAUUCCAAGUGUAGAGGUGAACUUCGUAGAUA
Molecule: ribosomal RNA, 327 nt
Filed under: uncultured bacterium
Lineage: Bacteria
Description: bacterial SSU rRNA
Rfam family: Bacterial small subunit ribosomal RNA
Source: RNAcentral